RNAcentral lists this small nuclear RNA (20 nucleotides) under Arabidopsis thaliana (thale cress). Its description in RNAcentral is "snRNA_10988". The record is from RNAcentral. Lineage: Eukaryota; Viridiplantae; Streptophyta; Magnoliopsida; Brassicales; Brassicaceae.
GGACAAGGGGAAUCCGACUG